GCGCCAGUAGCUCAGCUGGUAGAGCAGCUGACUCUUAAUCAGCGGGUCGUGGGUUCAAAUCCUACCUGGCGCA
Molecule: transfer RNA, 73 nt
Filed under: Thermanaeromonas sp. C210
Lineage: Bacteria; Bacillati; Bacillota; Clostridia; Neomoorellales; Neomoorellaceae
Rfam family: tRNA
About the family: Transfer RNA (tRNA) molecules are approximately 80 nucleotides in length. Their secondary structure includes four short double-helical elements and three loops (D, anti-codon, and T loops).
Source: Rfam by way of RNAcentral